This is a non-coding RNA of Bactrocera oleae (olive fruit fly), 854 nucleotides long. The record is from RefSeq and is a predicted model, not a curated record. NCBI's taxonomy places the organism in Eukaryota, Metazoa, Arthropoda, Insecta, Diptera, Tephritidae.
GAUCAAAAAAUUCGUUAAGUAAAGGUCAAAAAUAGUUUCUAUCUGUUUUUUUGCUGAGUCUAAAAAUUCUUUAUAGUGAGGUUGAAAAAAAAUUAUUCGUAAUACAAAGGUAUAUUUUACAUGAGCUCUUAUGGGCAGUGCUAAGGGAUUUUGAAAAAUUCGUUAUAUCAUGGAAUUCGUUAUAUUGAGGCUGGUACCGAGGUGAAAAAAGAGCACUGAAGUUUGCAGUGCCUCGAUUUUGGAGGAAACCAGGUUAUCAUCUUUGAAAUAUUUGAAUUUUUUCCAAAGCUUUCAGAGGCGAAAAUAAAUAUGGGAACUUUUUAUGCCGGUAGUCAGCGAGCAAUCUCUAGUCUCUAAUAGAGACUCAUCCAUGGCGAAAUCUAUUUAGAGACUGUUUGGUAUUCAGUCGAUAGUGUCUCAUCUCUAAUUGAGCAAUAUCAGUCUCUAAUUUGUUAUUUACGUUAAACCAGGUCACAAAAAAAAGAGCGAAAAAAUGGAGGAUGCAAUUGGGCUAAUAUAUAUCGUAAUGAAAAAACGAGACGAAGAAAACAAGUAAUACAUAAAUUCUUGUAAUUUUGCAAUAAUGAAUAACAAAGUGCUUAUAUCCUAUACCUCAUCCAACAACUGAAACCGUAGUUCAUUUUAGUUCUAUAUUUUUUACGCAAUGGCUCAUACCAGUGUUGCGUGUGUUGGAAAUGGAUAUUUCUCGGUGAUAAAUCUAGCGUUUCUCGUAGUAUUGAACAAAUUUGUAAAAGGUUGAUGAUACAAUAGAGUUAAGACUGGGUAAGUUGUUGUCCAAUUUAUGGCACAAACAGUCACCGACUCAAAACCGUGGACCGAAUCAGCUGAUACAA